Molecule: long non-coding RNA, 792 nt
Organism: Sinocyclocheilus rhinocerous
Lineage: Eukaryota; Metazoa; Chordata; Actinopteri; Cypriniformes; Cyprinidae
Exons: 3
Source: RefSeq, a predicted model, not a curated record
AUUUGUAGAGUUCUGCAAGGAAAACACUUCCCACAAACUGGCUGUCUGUGCUAAUUAAGAAGCAAGUCUUCAUAAUUAUAGUUCACAUUUUUAAAAACUACCAUCUGGCCAUAAAGAUUUCAUCUGACCAUAAAGAUUUUUGCAUUUGUCUUUUGUUACACUGACACUCAAGAGUGAUAUUAAAAAUUGUCCCUUACAUGUUUAAAGCCAAUCAAGUCUCAAAACAAGUUUCUGAGGUCAAAGGCUCUGCAAUCCCCACCCUUACUUCCAUUGUGCUAUAUCUAUCUCUAUCAAGAUUAAGGAUUUAACCAUUAUCCACUAUAUGAAGCCCUGCUACCUUUAAAGCACCCGGCUGAGAAGCACGGCCAAGAAAAGCACUGAUGACGCAAUAGGCAGCUUAAUGUGUAUUGAAUGAAUGAAUGAUUCUGUAGGUGCAUCCCAAUUCAUAUGCUUAUGCACUAUGCCAUUUUGUAAUAUAAAUAUUGUGUUCACACUUAAAAAUUCCAACACAGAAUUUUGGACACUUCAUGUACUCAGUCAUUGCACCUUUAAUUAUGUAAUUGAUGACAAGCAAGUUGUCUAAAUGCCAUACACUAGACACACAGUACAUAAUUUAAGAGCGUACAAUGUAAUUUGGGACAGCUACUGACAUGUCAUAUUUCUACAUUAAAAUUUCUAUAAUUAAAACUUUAACCUCAUAACAUUAUUGAUGCAAUUGCAAUUGUAAUUUUACUGUAUUGUAAAUGCAAUUAUGCUACCAAUGAGCUGCAUUUAAAGGAGUAGUUCACUUUC